Molecule: long non-coding RNA, 1781 nt
Organism: Mytilus californianus (California mussel)
Lineage: Eukaryota; Metazoa; Mollusca; Bivalvia; Mytilida; Mytilidae
Exons: 2
Source: RefSeq, a predicted model, not a curated record
UCCAAGCCUUUGGCGAUAAUUGGUACCUCAGUGGGAAUAACAAGCAUAAUCAUAUUAUUUCUUAUUAUACUGAUUAUCAUUUUCGUAUGCAGACGAAGAUCAAAGAAAAAGAAGCGGGAACAACUGACAAGACUACAGUCUAUCGACCAAAGAUCUGAGAUGGCAAAUCUUGAUAGAGGUACCUCCAGUACAAACAAUGAAGGACACAAUAUGUUAUCUACGUACAUAUCUUUGAAUACGGGGGACGCACCAGGCCAGUACUGUGUUCUCGAUCCCUCUGUUACGCAAUAUGAGGAAGCCUUUAACAGCCAGUUAUCACCACAGGUUAUAAGGUUCGGUGUUGCAGAGGGUAACGAGAAUGUUUACCAUGAAAUUGAUUAAGAUAAAUUCGAAUCCUCACAACAUAUGGAGGAAGAUCACCAGAAGCAACUAGAAGUUAAGGAUUUAAUUUUUUUUUACCAUAAUGAUGAGCCAUUUGGGUAUGACAAAACAUCUUACAAUGUAACAUCCGAUGAAAAAUAUCAAAUUAGCUAGGAAAGAAUAAUACUAGCAUAAAUAUGUACUAGUAUAUAUUGCUCGUGUGUAUCAGAUAAAAUAUACAUUGACCCUUUAGUAUAUAAUCAUAAUAUUCUUUGUCAUUGGUUAAUAUACUGACAAUCAAGGACAGUUUAUUAUAGGUAAUUUCAAACUUAAAUAUUGAAAAGGUUUCAAAGUAGAAUAAACUGAAAUGCAGUUUGUUUGGUGAAUUCAUCACAAUUUUUAUCAUUGUCAAACGAAAAUAUUGGAUAUAUUUUCCUAUCCUUUUUUCAUACUUGAUGAUAAAGCUUACUAAUUAGAUAUAAGAAGAUGUGGUAUGAGUGCCAAUGAGACAACUCUCCAUCCAAGUCAAAUUUUUUAAAAGUAAACCAUUAUAGGUCACAGUACGGUCUUCAACACGGAGCCUUGGUUCACACCGAACAGUUAGCUAUAAAUGGCCUCAAAAAUUACUAGUGUAAAACCAUUCAAACGGGAAAACCAACGGUCUUAUCUAUAUAAAAAACGAGAAACGAGAAACACUUAUGAACCACAUCAACAAACGACAACUACUGAACAUCAGAUUCCUGACUUAGGAAAGGUGAAAUUAAAUGCAGCGGGUUUAAACGUUUUAAUGGUACCAAACCUUCACCCUUUUUCUGAAACAAUAGUGUAACAUCACAACAUAGAAAGACACACUAUAAAAUAUCAACUGAAAUAGCUUAACUCAAUCAAAGGACAUAUUAACACCAUUGAACAUACACUGAACAAAUAAAUUUGAUCUAUGAUACAAUGUAAAUACAAAAUAAAUAAACUAAGGGAAGAAUAAUAAAAGUAACAUGUUAUUUCGGUAUGAAAUGUUAAACAAUUAAAGAAACCUUUAUUGAAAUUUAUGAAACUUUUUUAUAUUUAGUGUUGUCUCCUUUUGAUUAGAGAGCGCACAGAGCUAUUACGUGCACUAAGAAAAUUUCAUGAUCUCCUUAGUAUUUGCACAAUCCCUUUUCGACUUCGAAAUGUGGACAUAACUUCUUCUACUUUUCAAAAUAUUGAUAAUACUAAAUUGUUUUACUAAUGUUUGUUGUGUUAUGUUAAUUGUUUAUUUUUACAUGCAUUUGUUUGUUUUUUGAUUACUUGCGAAUAGCUGUUUUGUCAACAAACUGACUUGUCGUUUGUUCAAUUGUCUUCUUUUUUUCUUCUUUUUAUGGUUUUUUCUAGACACUUGUUCACAUAUUAAUUUUAAAAUAAAGGUAACAGUUUGUAUAUUUGAA